CAACAUCUAAAUAGCCUAUGUAUAAAAAUCUAUAUAUUUUUGAAAAUAGAUUAACUAUACAUCAACUUAGUCCCAAACCUCUUGCUUUCUUCCAAAUCAAACAAGAGCUCUUACUUUAUUGCUGAUUCUCAAGACUUACUAAUGCCUUGUUAAUAGAAUUUUAACAACAUAUAAAUUUUUAUGCAUAGCUCUUUAGAUGUCACAAAUCAUAUCUAUAUCUAUCAAAUUAGAUCUCUCAUUUUAAAACUCUGAAAAGUUUUAAAUAAAAUAAUAUUAAUAUCAAAUCUAGGUAAAAUCAAAAAUCAAAUCUAAAUAAUAUAUUUUACUAGACUUCCUUUCAUGUUAGAUUUGCUAAAAAUAAAAUAUGACCUAACUCUAAACCAACAAAACUCAAAUAAAAUCCUUAAUUAAGUCAUAAAGGCUUUCAUCUAAUUUUUCCAACCUACUACACAAUUAUUUUAGAGCAAUGCUACCAAUUUACCCUAAAAUGGGUGUAUAUCAUAUACCCUACUCAUCCUAGGAUAGAAGUGUUGCCGAUAAUCAAUGUGUUACAUCAAUAUGACUAGUGGGGACACCCACACCCACACGACGGGUGAGGUGUAUGAUGUACUCACAAAAAGGAGUUAGUUUACUAUGUAACACUUACACCACAUCAUCUAUAUCCAGCCAACCAUAUCUCUCUUUUUGAGAGAAAAAUACAAAAAAAAAAUAUUUUUUUAAAAAAAAUCAUGAUGGGAUAGGUGAACCCAUCAUAUGUUAAACUGUUGCAUAUAUAACUGUUGCAUAUAUGCUACACCUGCAACUCACGAGCUAAAAAAAAUCAUGAUGGGAUAGGUGAACCCAUCAUAUGUUAAACUGUUGCAUAUAUAACUGUUGCAUAUAUGCUACACCUGCAACUCACGAGCUAAAAAAAAUCAUGAUGGGAUAGGUGAACCCCAGGGGAGCUUUUUUGAUUGGUUGGGGAUACCACAUCAGCAAUAUAACUGUUGCAUUCUAGACUUUUUCCCCAAAAGGGAUGUUGUACACUAAGCAUUUUUCAUUAUUUUACCCUACUAUGGGACUCAACUUGAACACCUACUAAACAAUUCAAGAAAGAGCACUAAACAAUUACUCCAAACCAUUUAUACCGUUGGUUUUCAGGUCCUAUUGACGAGGACCAAAUGAUUUGAAGCACCUAUUCAUUGCACUAUUCUCAUUAAAAAAAACUUGUUUUCCCUUUCCUUAGUCACAAUUGAGUAAAGCUAUAAUAUUUCUAAACAACAACCUUGUUAUGCUAAGGACGGACUAAAAGGUAGCUACUAACAAUGACCUCUUCAUCAAUCCAACUCACGAGAUAAGAGAAGACAAAAAAGGAAAGAUGAGCUAAAAAGGAUACAAUAGAAAGGGAAAAAAAGAUAAUUUACAAGUGUCGUGAAUAAGGACACUGACAUAUGGCAAUAUGAUGAUUCCCCUCUUCAUGUAAGUAAUAUACUACAUAUAUGCACAAGUGAAAAUGCUACACCUGCGACCUAUUAGGUACACAUUAAAGACAUAGGUGCUUAGAGAUGGGUGGAAGCGCGGUGUAUAACCCACUAUAACUAGCGAAUCGGCCCACUCAUGAAUCUGAUAGGUCUAUCUCUUCAACAUGCAUGUAACAGGAUGUAAGAUAACAUUAUUCUCGCAAGGAUAAUGCUAUACCCACAACUCUCUACAUUCAUGCACUAGUAGGGCCUAUCCAGUUCAUGGUUAGAACCAAUUGAUAGAUCAUGGCAGGCGCCACAAUUCCACACACUAUUGUCUCGAAAGCAAUGCUAUCCAUACACCUCAAAGUGGGUGUAAAUCAUACAUCCCAUCCAUUCUAAGGAAUCACUAGUCACAUCAAUAGGACUAGUAGGAAAACCCCACCCAUAGAAUGGGUGGAGUGUAUGAUUUACGCACUAAAAGAAGUGUAUAGGUAGCAGUUUCCUCGUCUCUAACUAUUACAGCACUUAAAUCUUUUAACUGCAAAUAGAGAAUUGCAACGAUAUCAUUUCCAUAUGCAAUUCAUAAAAGGAGGACACAAUCACAGUCCUAUGUUGUCUUCAUCUUUUAUUUAUUUAUUUAUCUUCAAUGCUAUUCUUUUCCUUUCUUAUUGUCACUCGUCAUCUUGCUCUCUCAUUUUCCUAUUGUUCUCUCUUCUUAAGUAGGUUCAAUGACUAACGAUAAAAGGUCAAUACAAAGCACGAACCCUCCUAUCAAAGGAAGCCACAAGAUUUUUUUUUUACUUAAUUAAAAAGAUUUAAGAUUUAGCCUCAUGAGAUGAAAGGUCAAUCUCAAGCUCCUAUCUCUAAGUGGGGUAGGAAAACAACACAAGUAUCAACAAUAACUAAAAAUUCAAUAGUUAUGCAACAUUUAAAUUAAAGGCAAAAAGGCCAAUUUUAUGAUAAUUGUAUGUACACAACACUAGGUGUGCAGAAUAAUCUCUAGCAAUAGGAGCCACCAACAGCUCAAAGGGUAGUCGAACACUCCACUCUAAGCAGCGAGUGUCAUUAAGAAAGCUAAAAAAUUAUACCACCUAUCACCAAGAAUCCACUUAUGAACAAAGUCCAUCACAAUCUUAUAAUACAAAGCAUAAAUCCUCAAACAAUUGCAUCUAAAUUACAACUUAAGGACACAUAAUGCCAACAUAUAAAAUAGUUUGAUAAUUUUUUUUACUAGAAAAGAGACUCGAACCCUAAUCCAAUUAGAAACCAUAUCUAUACUAGUGGUUUCAUUAAAACUAGUAUUCUUAUGGAACAUGAUACUGAACAAACAAUUGCAAUUCCAACCAAACCAUAGAAAUCAGUGUCUUUAAGAACCCAAAGCAACAAUUUCAUUCGUAUAACACAAUCCAAAAAAUGAUCCAUAUCAACAAAAGACAAUAAUUUGAUCACCGUCGGCAAAAGAGAUGAUACCAUAAGAAAGUCAAAUAAUCUAAGAUGUUUUCUUACUCUAGCUAUGUACAAGGAAAAAUUCAUGCCACAAAUUAGAUAAUAUUGCUUGACUACUACGUAUAGAUCUGUAGUAAGACGCCACCUUUCUCAUUCAAACUAAAAGGCUAACAUUGAUUAAGACCUCUAAAAGAGCAUACCAAAGCUUGUGAGAUUUCAACUAUCAACCUAGGUGAGUAGAUAUUACAACCACUGAAUCAGUAACUAAGGUGCAAAGCAUACACAUUUCUGAACCAGAUUGUAAAGCCUAAGCUAAAGCAACUUUGAACCAACUAAGUAUAUAGACACUAAUUUGUAGUUAGGGAACAUUCUUUAUUCCAAAAAAGUAAAACAAUGACAAUGUCCUUAUCAAUUAACAUAGUGAUAAGAACACUUCCCUUCUUAUUUGGGCAAAUUAAAUCAUUUUGCUACCCAAUUAUGGUGUUGCACCCUUUGUGGCAUUGUUGGGCCUAGUAACUAAACAAAAAAAGCUCUAGCAUCAACUUGAAAAGCAAAAAGCUUAUGCUUCCUACCACUUCUCAAUUUAUUGUCUAUCCAUGCAGAUUGGUUUAAUGACCAUGCAACAAGCUAGUUCUACUACUAUUUCUUUGGGAUUUCAUCAGGAAAAAUCAGGAAAACACCAAGCUUACAACAUUCUACAUGCUUGUCGAAGGAUUCAAUGCUUGGACAGUUAGAAAUAGCAAUUGGGUGCCAGGGAGGGUGUCCACAAGGACCCAAAAACUGCACCCACUUAUGGAUUUGAUCAAUUUAUUCCUUCCACACAAACAUAGUAGGUUGUAAACAUAAAAUCUCAAAAAAGAAAGCUCCAAACAUCAAUAAAUGUUUCGUAGUGCCUCAAUAAAUACCAAAUGCUAUCACUUUUUACAGCUGCACCAUGAACCCACAUUGCCACAAAGGGCGCAACACCACAACUAGAAAACUUGAAAAUUGAAAAUUCAACCCACAAACCUCACAUGAGAAUAGAAGUGCACUUACCAUUAUGCUAACAAGCAACAAAAAAUCUAUAUACAAGCUCACUAGUUCUUAGGCUGUAAGUCAUACUAUCAUACCACUCCUAAUAUGUCAUAAUAAUAUCACAUUUCUUCUAUCUAGUAGGCCUAUUUAGAGCAUUUCACAAGAGUACUAAAGUAGCUUUUUGUACUCUGUAAACAAAAUUUCUUAAAAGCUGCCAAAGUUUGCUGCGAAAACAAAAUGCAGUACUUUGCUGCGAAAACAAAAUGCAGUACUUUGCCAACGCAUUCUAGUAAAGUAGGAAGAUUAACUUUCCACACGCGAAAUAUCUACUUGAAGUAGCGAGAACUAGUCUAAUAAUCACAAACAUGGGACGAAAUACAAGUUAAUUAAAGUGUCCGAGCAUCUGAAUGCAAUAAGCCAUACUAUUUAUGGAUAGCAAAUGCCAGAAUCUCAGCCCGGUCUCAUUCUAGGCAACGUACAGCGCUGAAGGCACUAUGGAAAGAAGCGCCUCAGAGACUCUAAUUUAUUGCCUCUUUUUUCCAACCACAAUACCAAAUCCAAAGAAAAAGAUUUCAAAAAUCAAGAAGAAAAAGACUCAUUUUAAAAUGAUAACAACAUUUGAUCAAAAAGGCACAGAAUAAAGGAUUUCAAAUAACAAGAAAUGAGACUCAUUUUGAAAAGAUAUCAACAUUAUUUGCUUCAGGUUUUUGAUUUUAUAUUUAAAUGAAACUAUGAAAAGAAGCACCUUAAAGACUUAUUAGUUGCCGAACUUCUCUACCUAUGGUAUCAAAUCCAAAGAACACACCUUGGAAUCGAAAGGGGCAAAACGAAAGGAAAAGAUUCCAAGAAUCAAGUAGUGAGACUCAGAUAUAGAAAGAUAUCAACAUUGUUCUCUUGAUUCGCUUCAGCGCUUGAUGGUAUCUCUAUAUGCUCGUCACAGUCGCAAGAUUUGAUCCAAAAAGUAAAAGAAUAAUCAAACAAAAAGGGCAAAAAAAAGAGAGAUAGAUGCAAAGAGAUCAUCAAAAAGCGAGGAGCUUAGGUAGCAAAAGAUACGAAAUAAUGCAUC
This 4968-nucleotide long non-coding RNA is filed under the name Ananas comosus (pineapple). Its description in RNAcentral is "long non-coding RNA (ACOM_LNC029826)". Lineage: Eukaryota; Viridiplantae; Streptophyta; Magnoliopsida; Poales; Bromeliaceae. The record is from RNAcentral.